RNAcentral lists this ribosomal RNA (380 nucleotides) under uncultured prokaryote. Its description in RNAcentral is "bacterial SSU rRNA". It matches the Rfam family "Archaeal small subunit ribosomal RNA", at positions 341 to 725 of the family's 1478-position model. The record is from RNAcentral.
GCGAAAACUUUAAAAUGCGGGAAACCGUGAUAGGGGAACUCUGAGUGCCCGUUAAAUCGGGCUGUCCACCAGUUUAAACAACUGGUGAAGAAAGGGCCGGGCAAGACCGGUGCCAGCCGCCGCGGUAAUACCGGCGGCUCGAGUGGUGGCCACUAUUACUGGGCUUAAAGCGUUCGUAGCUGGUUUGUUAAGUCUCUGGGGAGAUCUUCCGGCUUAACCGGAAGGCGUCUCAGGGAUACUGGCAGACUAGGGACCGGGAGAGGUGAGGGGUACUCCAGGGGUAGGAGUGAAAUCCUGUAAUCCUUGGGGGACCAACUGUGGCGAAGGCGCCUCACCAGAACGGCUCCGACAGUGAGGGACGAAAACUGGGGGAGCAAACC